UACGUAGGGACCAAGCGUUGUUCGGAUUUACUGGGCGUAAAGGGCGCGUAGGCGGCGUGGUAAGUCAGCUGUGAAAUCUCCGAGCUUAACUCGGAACGGUCAGCUGAUACUGCUGUGCUAGAGUACAGAAAGGGCAAUCGGAAUUCUUGGUGUAGCGGUGAAAUGCGUAGAUAUCAAGAGGAACACCUGAGGCGAAGGCGAGUCCCUGGACAAUUCCUGACACUGAGGCACGAAAGCUAGGGGAGCAAACAGG
This 253-nucleotide ribosomal RNA is filed under the name uncultured bacterium. Its description in RNAcentral is "partial 16S ribosomal RNA". It matches the Rfam family "Bacterial small subunit ribosomal RNA", at positions 524 to 776 of the family's 1533-position model. The record is from RNAcentral.